Molecule: unclassified non-coding RNA, 203 nt
Filed under: rhizosphere metagenome
Description: partial ribosomal RNA internal transcribed spacer region
Source: RNAcentral
GAAAGUCUGGGCUUCGGCCCUCUCUCUUCUACACACUUGUGAACUUACACUGUUGCUUCGGCAGGUAUCUGGAUGGGGGUAAAAGCCCUGAAGGAGAGACCGAGAGGUGCCUGCCGAAGACAUUUAUCUACCCUUUUUAUAUUGUCUGAUUUUUGUUUUAAACAAAUUAUAAUAAAACUUUCAACAAUGGAUCUCUUGGCUCU